UUGUAACAGAACUGUGGGGACGCAGGGAGGAAAGAAGAGCCGGGAAUGAAGAGACCGGUGCAAGCGAGGUAGGAGUCUGAAAGGCAAAACCGUCAGACAAUCCGAAGACGUGAUGCGCAGCGAACUGAAGUAGCGAAGCUUCGGCCCCUAACUGCCAAGAAAAGCCGCUAUUGUUUGCAUGACACCCGUACCGUAAACCGACACAGGUGGAUGAGGAGAGAAUCCUAAGGCCGACGGGAGAAGCAUUGUUAAGGAACUCGGCAAAAUGACCCCGUAACUUCGGGAGAAGGGGUGCCUCGAAAGAGGCCGCAGAGAAUUGGCCCAAGCAACUGUUUAGCAAAAACACAGGUCUAUGCAAAACCGAAAGGUGAGGUAUAUGGGCUGACGCCUGCCCGGUGCUGGAAGGUUAAGAGGAGAGCUUAGCGCAAGCGAAGGUUUGAAUUUAAGCCCCAGUAAACGGCGGCCGUAACUAUAACGGUCCUAAGGUAGCGAAAUUCCUUGUCGGGUAAGUUCCGACCUGCACGAAAGGCGUAAUGAUUUGGGCGCUGUCUCGACAAUGCACCCGGUGAAAUUGAAGUACCAGUGAAGAUGCUGGUUACCCGCGCCAGGACGGAAAGACCCCAUGGAGCUUUACUCUAGCUUGAUACUGGGAUUCGGUAUUGUCUGUACAGGAUAGGUGGGAGGCUAUGAACCGUGGACGCCAGUCUGCGGGGAGCCGCUGUUGGGAUACCACCCUUACAAUACUGGAUUUCUAACCUGCCGCCAUGACCUGGCGGAGGGACAAUGUCUGGUGGGGAGUUUGACUGGGGCGGUCGCCUCCGAAAGAGUAUCGGAGGCGCUCAAAGGUCCUCUCAGGAUGGACGGAAACCAUCCGAAGAGUGCAAAGGCAUAAGAGGGCUUGACUGUGACACCGACGGGUGGAGCAGGUACGAAAGUAGGACUUAGUGAUCCGGUGGUAGAAAGUGGGAUUGCCAUCGCUCAACGGAUAAAAGCUACCCUGGGAUAACAGGCUUAUCACUCCCAAGAGUUCACAUCGACGGAGUGGUUUGGCACCUCGAUGUCGGCUCAUCGCAUCCUGGGGCUGUAGCAGGUCCCAAGGGUUGGGCUGUUCGCCCAUUAAAGCGGUACGCGAGCUGGGUUCAGAACGUCGUGAGACAGUUCGGUCCCUAUCCGGCGCGGGCGUAGGAUAUUUGAGAGGAGCUGUCCUUAGUACGAGAGGACCGGGAUGGACGAACCGCUGGUGGAUCCGUUGCAUUAUCAAGUGCAUGGCCGAGUAGCCAAGUUCGGAAGGGAUAAACGCUGAAGGCAUCUAAGCGUGAAGCCCCCCUCAAGAUGAGAUAUCCCAUUCUUUAAAAGAAGUAAGACCCCUUGAAGACCACGAGGUAGAUAGGGCAGAGGUGGAAGUACGGUAACGUAUGGAGCUGACUGUCACUAAUCGGUCGAGGGCUUGACC
This 1453-nucleotide ribosomal RNA is filed under the name metagenome. RNAcentral describes it as "bacterial LSU rRNA". It matches the Rfam family "Bacterial large subunit ribosomal RNA", at positions 1449 to 2925 of the family's 2925-position model. The record is from RNAcentral.